RNAcentral lists this ribosomal RNA (976 nucleotides) under uncultured Burkholderiales bacterium. Its description in RNAcentral is "bacterial SSU rRNA". It matches the Rfam family "Bacterial small subunit ribosomal RNA", at positions 63 to 1030 of the family's 1533-position model. Lineage: Bacteria; Pseudomonadati; Pseudomonadota; Betaproteobacteria; Burkholderiales. The record is from RNAcentral.
CGAACGGCAGCAUGAUCUAGCUUGCUAGAUUGAUGGCGAGUGGCGAACGGGUGAGUAAUACAUCGGAACGUGCCCUGUAGUGGGGGAUAACUAGUCGAAAGAUUAGCUAAUACCGCAUACGACCUGAGGGUGAAAGUGGGGGACCGCAAGGCCUCAUGCUAUAGGAGCGGCCGAUGUCUGAUUAGCUAGUUGGUGAGGUAAAGGCUCACCAAGGCGACGAUCAGUAGCUGGUCUGAGAGGACGAUCAGCCACACUGGGACUGAGACACGGCCCAGACUCCUACGGGAGGCAGCAGUGGGGAAUUUUGGACAAUGGGCGAAAGCCUGAUCCAGCAAUGCCGCGUGUGUGAAGAAGGCCUUCGGGUUGUAAAGCACUUUUGUCCGGAAAGAAAUGGCUCUGGUUAAUACCUGGGGUCGAUGACGGUACCGGAAGAAUAAGGACCGGCUAACUACGUGCCAGCAGCCGCGGUAAUACGUAGGGUCCAAGCGUUAAUCGGAAUUACUGGGCGUAAAGCGUGCGCAGGCGGUUGUGCAAGACCGAUGUGAAAUCCCCGAGCUUAACUUGGGAAUUGCAUUGGUGACUGCACGGCUAGAGUGUGUCAGAGGGGGGUAGAAUUCCACGUGUAGCAGUGAAAUGCGUAGAGAUGUGGAGGAAUACCGAUGGCGAAGGCAGCCCCCUGGGAUAACACUGACGCUCAUGCACGAAAGCGUGGGGAGCAAACAGGAUUAGAUACCCUGGUAGUCCACGCCCUAAACGAUGUCAACUAGUUGUUGGGGAUUCAUUUCCUUAGUAACGUAGCUAACGCGUGAAGUUGACCGCCUGGGGAGUACGGUCGCAAGAUUAAAACUCAAAGGAAUUGACGGGGACCCGCACAAGCGGGGAUGAUGGGGAUUAAUUCGAUGCACUCGAAAAACGUUACCAACCUUGACUGGCCCUAACGAACCACAGAUGCAUAAGGGGCUCGAAGAGAAAAUGG